Molecule: long non-coding RNA, 2578 nt
Organism: Pongo pygmaeus (Bornean orangutan)
Lineage: Eukaryota; Metazoa; Chordata; Mammalia; Primates; Hominidae
Exons: 3
Source: RefSeq, a predicted model, not a curated record
UUAUUUGUGGGAAAUCUGUUGAGAGGGAACCAUUUCCAAGAUGUAUGGGGAAGAAUUUCCUGAGCUGAUGUGAGAGUGUCAUUCCAGAGGGCCAUUAGACAGGAGCCGAGCCCCUCCGCCGGCAGGCAUGGCCAUGCGUCCCGUAGCCCUCUCUGGUACUGCCCCUCCCACGCUUCUCCAUCAUCUACUGAGAUACUUUAUGAUAGUGGCUCCUGGAGCACCUCCAUUGAAACCACCUGGCUGCACGUUCCAUAAUAUCCGAGUCUCAGGGUUAGGAAUAGCAUCUUAACAAGCUCCUAUGCUCACUUCUGAAGCACACCAACAUUUGAGAUUUAUUGGCCUCUAAGGUGAGGAGAGAAGCAUAGAGACAUGAAGUAAUGCUAUGCUAUAAACCAAAUGUUUGUGUUCCUCCAAAUACAUAUGUUGAAAUCCUAACUCCACCGGCCAACCCCACCAUGUGAUGGUCUUAGGAGUUAGGGCCUUUGGGAGGUGAUUAGGUCAUGAGGGUGGAACCUCAAUGAAUGGGAUUCAUGCCUUUAUAAAAGGGGCCCUAGAGAGCUCCCUCACCCUCUUUCCACCAUGCGAGGCUCUCAUGAGAAGUCGGCUGUCUGCAUUCGCAAGAGGACCCUUGUCAGAACCAACCGUGCUGGCCCUGUGAGCUCGGACUUCCAGCCUCCAAACUGUGGGAAAUACAUUUCUGUUGUUUCUGUGCCACCGCAGCUAUGAUUUUCUGUUAUAACAGCCGGAGCGGGUGAAGACAAGCAGUGUGCCAAAAUACAGCUGAAUUGCUUGGAUCCAAAGCCAGGCCUGGCUCGUGCCAAAGUUCCUGCUCCAGCCUCGAGGAGGAAGAACUACUCAAAGUGACACGGGAGAGAGGAGAUGGCCUUGUUGAUAGAGGCUUGGCCCCGAAGCCCCACUCUGCCCCUAAGCAGCUCCAAGACUGGGCACAAGCUGCUGUCCUCCCCAGCCUCGGGAUCCUGGUCUAUGCCACAGGGCCAGGAAGAGCACCACCUCCAGGGCUGCGUCAUCCUCAGCCCAGCGCCUGGCACCCAGCCACUGUGCCCAUCAUCGGGUUGUUCUGAGAAUGAAAGGGAUUAAUGAAUGUGAAUGACUCCUUAGCAAGCCUUGUGGCAGUGAACACAAGAAGGGGGGAGUUAUUUUUAGAUUCUAAACAAAGCCUGGGUCAGCAGGGACCCGGGGACCUGGAGGGAGAGCGUGUGGAUAACAGCAAGAGUUUUAGAGCGCGUGGCAAUCCUUUGCCCUGACCCCUGGCAUGCUGGAAAUGGUCUGUGGGCAGCGCAGGGCCCCCCAGGGCCAGUCUGGCUGUGCACCCCAGCCCCGGGCCCCUCUGAAGCAGAGACUGCUUACAUCUGAAACACCACGGCUCCUUCCUGGCAGAAGCGUGGGAAGGCAAACUUCAAAGUGUGUGUCAGGAUCCUCUUCUGCCUCCAAAGAUUAAAAAACCCCUCAAGAGACUCAGUAACCUCCAAGCCUUCACACGGGUAAACUGGUAUCUUUUUGAGAGGAACACAGAACCUGGAAGACAUUGAUAUGGCAGGAUUUUCAGAGCUCCCGUGGCACAAGAAAAGUGGGAAGGAAAGAUGAAUGCUUUAUGUUCUAAAGAGCGGGCCUGUGUCUUUCAUCCUGAGAUUAGAGGCCUGGAUGCCAGGCUCUCGCCCCUGAAUGGGUGAUGUUCUUAAACAAAGGGUGAGGGUGGAGGAGGGGAGCAGGGCACUGCCAUUCAUUCAUUCAUUCACUCCACAAACCCAUCCUAAGUGCUGUUCCAGGCUCUGGACUAGGCUCUGGACACAGAGAGAUUCAGAGACCAGCCCCUGCUGCUGACAUGCAGUCCAGCUGGGAGACAGCUGCGGGAGCCUGUGAAGAGCCUUGGCAUGGGAACCUAAGGGAUACCUAAGGAGGAGGCCUCUCACCCUUCCUGGGAGGGUCUGGAGGGCUUUGCUGAGGAGGAAACCCAUGAAUUUGAAGAAUGAGUAAAUGCUCAUUUGAGGAAGAGGAGAGAGGGCCUCCCAGGCAGAAGGGACAUGAUCAAAGGCCUGGAGCCAUGAACAGGCCUGAUGUGUCCAGAAAACGGAGGGGAGGAUGGUCCUGGGGUGGGGUGGGCGGGCGCAGCUGGAAGGCUGGCAGGAUGGAUGGAGGCCAGGCAGCGGAAGGCCUUGCCCACCCUAUCUGGGAGCCCACCCAGCCUGGGAGCCUGGGACUCAUCUCCUGGGAUCUUAGGGGCCCACAAGAGGUGUUAGUAGCACCUGAGUGACAUUUGGUCGCUUUCUCUGGGUUCUUAUUUCUACUUUUUUCUAAGCUUAGGAGAGAAGCACAUAUCCUGCUUGUCAGGCUCUCCAGCACUUUGGUCUUUCCUUCAGAAAUGUCAUGGUAGAAGAUUGGAACUGCAAUUCUGCCGGUGACAUUAGAGAUCCCUAAACAGAGCCUUUCAGAGGAGAAGUGAAGCCUGUGUCUGCUUCUUCCUCUCCCGCAGCUGAGCCUGUUCUCCUCGCCAUCAGGAGAGGAAAUUCUCAUAAUAAGAUGAUAUUGUUGGAUUAAAACAGGUCAAAACGAAACAAAA